UACGUAGGGGGCAAGCGUUGUCCGGAAUUAUUGGGCGUAAAGAGCGCGUAGGCGGUCCGAUAAGUCGGCUGUGAAAGUCAAGGGCUCAACCCUUGAAAGCCGGCCGAUACUGUCGGACUAGAGUCCGGAAGAGGCGAGUGGAAUUCCUGGUGUAGCGGUGAAAUGCGCAGAUAUCAGGAAGAACACCCGUGGCGAAGGCGGCUCUCUGGGACGGUACUGACGCUGAGACGCGAAAGCGUGGGGAGCGAACAGG
Molecule: ribosomal RNA, 253 nt
Filed under: uncultured bacterium
Lineage: Bacteria
Description: partial 16S ribosomal RNA
Rfam family: Bacterial small subunit ribosomal RNA
Source: RNAcentral